Molecule: ribosomal RNA, 480 nt
Filed under: uncultured bacterium
Lineage: Bacteria
Description: bacterial SSU rRNA
Rfam family: Bacterial small subunit ribosomal RNA
Source: RNAcentral
UUGAACGCUGGCGGAAUGCUUUACACAUGCAAGUCGAGCGGCAGCGCGGGGCAACCUGGCGGCGAGCGGCGAACGGGUGAGUAAUAUAUCGGAACGUACCCUGUCGUGGGGGAUAACACAUCGAAAGAUGUGCUAAUACCGCAUACGACCUGAGGGUGAAAGCGGGGGAUCGCAAGAACUCGCGCGAUAGGAGCGGCCGAUAUCGGAUUAGCUAGUUGGUGAGGUAAAGGCUCACCAAGGCGACGAUCCGUAGCUGGUCUGAGAGGACGACCAGCCACACGGGAACUGAGACAAGGUCCAGACUCCUACGGGAGGCAGCAGGGGGGAAUUUUGGACAAUGGGGGAAACCCUGAUCCAGCCAUUCCGCGUGAGUGAAGAAGGCCCUCGGGUUGUAAAGCCCUUUCGGCAGGAACGAAACGGUGGUCCUUAAUACGGGCUACUAAUGACGGUACCUGAAGAAGAAGCACCGGCUAACUACGU